GGCCGCCGCCCGCCCCGCCCCGGCUCCCCCAGCGCGGAGCCGGCCGGGCCGCCUAAGUUUGCGAGCCGGCCUCGCGGGUGGGAUGCGGGGUGAAGAGAGGAGGAAAGGGGGAGCGGCGCGAGGCGCGGGAUUGACUCAGCACCAGAGAUUGUUGGACAAGCUGAGACAAGAGUUAAUUUUCCUGUGGUUUUUCCUGGUGUUUAACUCUGUGCAAAGCAGAUGCAAAGCCAGUGGAGAACGACUACAGGAAGAUAGGAAAAUAAAGACUGCUAAGGAAAUCCUGCCAACUUCAUUAUACCGCCCUACUGCUAGUAAGACCACUAGAUUUGAAGUCCCGUCUAGAGCAGCACAAAUUCUUCUCAUCGACACAGUAGAAUGCAAUCAUAGUCGCUAAUUCUACUCAAGACAGGAUUUCCAAGAGGUAUACAGUAAAAGACCACGAACUUAAAUACAGAAGUUUCCAUAUCCAUAGAUAAAUAUCUCUAUGCGUGCAAUUGAAAAUAUAUGAAUUAAAAUGAUACACGCUAUAGUUCUCACGUGAUGUUAAUUUCUGUGCCUUAUCAAAUUUAUUUACAAUUUUUACACGUAUAGAUUGAAGCUUAACAUGUAGGAACUCAGAUUGUAUGCGAAUGUAUUUUUCCAUGUUACUGCAAAUUCUUUUCUAAUUAGCUGGUUGAUCCCAAGAAAUCCACAAUCCUUAAACUGAAAAUUACCGUUCAAAUGCUCUGCUAUGUGAAGGACAGGUCUCAAUUCUGCUCCUUCAGCUUCAGUGACAGCUGAUUUGUCCACUGCGCAAUGCUCUUCAAAUUCUCCUUUUCUGUAUGCGGGGUCUAAGGAGAGAAGGUUAAUAUAUUUUUCUGCAAUAAGAUUAGAUUUGGCUUGCAAGCGAUGUGCUGAGAUAGGCCACAUUUUAAAUAUUUGUAAAUGGUUUGACUUUUGGUUUAAUUCAGCUGUCUCUGACUUUCUGAGUAUGUUCCUCUGCUAAAAAUGGGGUGGGGAGAGAGGAACAGUUCAACUGUGAGCUAUUCUUCAGAAAACUGGAUGUUUUGCCAUCCCACCAAUGUCAUCUGGCAUUAAUUAACAUAGCAUCUUGCUAAUUACAUUGUCAGCAUACAGCCACUAAAUUCAAAUACAAAGAGAAUUGUUAAAAUGUCCCGAUUUAACUCUGGUAUUUCUUUUAAAGCAUCAUUCUUCAAGUUUUGUGUAUAUGGGACAUCAUCCAAAGCCAAUGAAGUUAAUGGGCUUUCUUCGGAUUUGGCCCAAAAACACUUGGAAAAAUCAGCGUUGUGUCCAAACUGCCUCUCUAAAUCAAGCACUUAGGUACUUAGCUCCUAUUGUUGGUGCAGCACAUCACCCAGGACACCCUGAUAUGCAGCUCUGUGGACCUGAUCUGUCUCCUAUGGGACUGAGGACAACAUGUGAAGGGGAAAGAGAGAGCUUGCAUGUUGCUACAAUCUGUGUCUUUUGUGUUGUGUGAGGGCUGGCUGCUCGGUGAUGCUCUCCUGAUGAAUUUUGUGACUCCUUCUUGAGUUGGGGAGAUCUGGGGAGAAGGAUGAGUGCCUGAUCAGAUCCUGUACUUUGCCCAAAGCAAAACAGUUAGAGUCAGCAAAAAUCUCUCCUACUUAAAGCGCUGUGCCAGCAGUGAAGGGAUUCUACAUGUGUGGCUGAGCCAGGGCAGGAGCCACACUGGAGCCAAACACUGGAUUAAUCCUGCCUUUUAACAGAACCUGGAGCGCAGUCCUGCUCUCAGGAAAUGGCAGUUCUGUCACCUGUACAUGUCUCGCUCUGCGUUAGCUUCACCUUCCCUUCAGCAUCGCUGGCCUUCACUCACUGGCCUUCACACACAUCCCUGAGUAUUAUUAAAAUCCUUGAGACCUCGCUGAUUUCUAGCUCACCAAGGGUUUUCUUUCUCUGGAGUGUGGUAAAACUAUACAUCUCCUUGAGAUAAUCAGAAACACAUGGAAAAAUAUUAAAAUGUUGCAUAAGGAGAAAAAGAAUGAAUUUCUUUCUUUCCAGCUACUCUUUUGCUGGAGACUUUUUACUUCAGGAAAAAAGAAAUUGUUGUCAGGGCUUUGGAAACUACAUCCUUUUUUCCACCCUGAUGGUCUUUUGCCUGUUUUACCUAGACCUCUAGGUUGGGCGUGUUGCUACAGCUCAGGACAGUGCAUGAGGACCUAAUGGGUCUUUUUUAAAGAAGUUGAAAGCAUUCCAGCAGAAGUAGCUGUUCACAUAUGUCUUGGACAGGAUGUAUUUCCCCAUCUCUCCUGGGAAAAUGAAAGCAGAAUCCCAGGGCAGCCUUCAUCACAAACUGCUGCAUUUGGGAGGUGGCUCUGUCGGGGUAUGAGCCAGCCCAGGAGAUGCAGUUGCUGGAAAAGCCAGAAAACCUGCACACAGCAAGAGGUCCUGCAUGAGUGGCACACAUAUGCAGCAAUGGGGCUAGAACAUGGCCCACAGUUGGGCUGUCCAAAUGUUGGCAGCACGGAAUCCCCGUGACUUCAGUGUUCAUGCACACCAACGCCAAAAUCUGUGCGGUCACAGUGCAUUUACCACACCACUAAAUCACAGUGAUGGGAUUUUAUGUGGGGAGAGAGGCAAGCAUCAUCCACGUUCCCAGUCACAGAGCCCUUAAAACAGCCUGCUUGUACUCUUAGUAGAUUAUCUUGUGAACCAAAACCAAGAAUGAAUAUACUAAUUUUUGUGCUCUCACUUGGUAGAAGGUAAACUACCUGGGACAAGUCCUGUGGCCAGACCCUCCAGCAGCAUGGCGAGUUAUGGUACAAGCAGGGUGAUACCAGCAUGUCUCCUUAUAGCAGAUUCUUCUUCAGUGCAGCAGCAGCAACAGCAUGUCUUCCCACACGCAGCUCCUGCCCCUUGCCUCACCAUCCUGCUCUGCUGUCCUUGCGCAACACCUCCAGCCAGACCAAUUACACUUACCUUAAUGCAUGUGUUUUACAGCAACCUGCAAAGCAAUUAUUUGAUCUCAGUUUAGACCUUUAGUUGCUACUAUAAUACACGUGAUAAUAUAAAAACAAACACAGAAAGAAGUAGCAUGUGUCUGCAGCACCGGCAGCAGCAGCACAGAUAACUGUUUCCUCGCACCUACACACACUCCAAUGCUAGAAUUGCAUUUUCAGCAAAGGUCACCAUCAUGGAGAUAGUAGGUCCUGCUUUGCUGCACUGUAACUCAGUUUUCAUCCCAUUUCAUUUCAGAAGAUUCCACUGUACAUUUAUUUAUCAGCUCGCACACUCAGAAUUGAUCAGGAACGGCUGCAUUUGUUCCAGACUUGAACUGGAAUAAGUUAUAUCAAAAUUGUUUAAUGCCACUUAGAGUCCAGCAUCAGUGUGCAGCCCUAGGAAAUGCACCUAUAACCGCUGCAAGAACGUGAAUGCGUGCUGAAGGGUAGCGCGUAUGCUCAGAGAUGGCUCUACAAAUAAAGGAAACUUCUGUUUAACCACGACUGUGGGAUUUUUAGGAUCACUUGCUUUUGCAGAGGCAGUUAAAUAGAUCCUGACAUAGAGUACCAAGGAAGGAAAUGUACGUGUUUAUUUUGGAGUGUUUGGGUCACUGGAUAGAAAGCUUAUAGGAAAAUGGAAAACAUGCAGCAGUAAUUCAUUUCUAAAGGGAAGGGGGAGAAAAGUCAAGGAAAUUCCCUCGCAGUCUGCUUGGAGCCAGGUUUUCAGCUGGUGUAAAUCUGCAGUCUAGGUUAAAAUUAUUGGAAGCAGUUCAUGUCCUGCAUCAAUAGAAAACAAUCCUGCACUGACGGGUUCCAUUGGUUGGUGCUUUGAGGCCCUAAGGAGGGUCAGCAUUGCAAAGCCCUGCUACGGGCCAGUGUCCUGCACCAGGGUAAGGCCAGGGUAUCACCCUAGGGUCAGAUCCAGGUCAGAUCUGUGGCAAUGCUGUAGAGCCAGGGAGCAGCACCAGUCCCUUGCUAUGUGCUACUGAGUGUGAGCCUCUUUCUCUCCUCCCACCACCCUGGUGAGUCUCUCCCAGAUGGCAUUAAAAUAAUAUUUGAGCUUUGCAACAACGAUGCCAGUUCAUUUGGCCUUAGAUACCAAUUCUCAACAUCUUUGGAGGUAGAAAGCAUAUUCCUCACGACCUCCUCAAUAUGUUUACAUCAUCAACUGUUACCUUUUUUAUUACACAUCAUUGAAUUUGAUGCACUGAGACUUUAACACAGGUUGUCCCUUCCCUCUAGGAAUUUCACAAAUAAAUCACUGACACGCAGUGCAAAUUGUCAGACACACUAUACAGUAGACACACUAUAUAGUCAUGGACACGCUAUACAGUAGAAAGGCACCGGAUAACCUUUAGCACUAGAAUGCUAUUUUUAAGUGCUUCAAUGAAGAGCACUAUUGUUGUUUGAAAAUGUAUUGCUAUGGUGAAAGGAGUUAAUGACUUGCAAAUGAUGUAUCACACCCUGAUGAAUUUCUUCACAGAAAAGUUAAAAAUCCCAAGCAGUAACCACGCACACAAAAUUGUUAAGGACACUGUAGGUUGAAGCUCUCCUAUUUGCCUGUGAAUUUAAUUCCCUUUGUGUAAUGAAGCAGCAAUAUAAAAGCUGGGCAUAAUGAUCCAGGCACUUUUCCACACCACGGGGUCAGCCCCGGGGAAGGGUUUCUCGCAGUCAAAGGCUGGGAUGGAGGCAAAAAAAAAAGGUGUUGGAUGUACCUGAGCAGCUGCUCUGGGUUUGGGGAGCACCCUGAAAAGAAAGGAUGCCAAAGCAUUGGUUUCUUGGGGCAAGUGAUGUUUGUGCAAAGGAGAAUUGACUGCAUGCUGUUUAUAGCCACCCUUGUGGUAAUCAGCAAGUGUCUGUGCGUACUUUAAAUAGACUCAUUACCCUAAGGAAAUACCCAAGUCAGCACCUCUGUAUCCUGCUCUCAGAGAGGAAACCCGACCUACAAAGCAUCAAAAUUUGCUGCUGCUUGGUGAAGGGGCCAAAAUACUUCAGCUAAGGCUGCUGCUUGCUUUUCUUGGAGAGAUGUGGCCAUCGCACUCAGCUCUGCUCUCACAAGUGUUGGUUUUCCAGUGGGGUGAUUGCAGUUACUUAGAGGAAUUGCUCCAUAACCACAUGAGGAGCAAUGAGAGAAGAAGCCAGCUUCAAGCACCCGCUUCCUAAGAAAAGCAAGGAUAUGAUCGAGUAAUUGAUUAGAUUCUACCUUACUCAUUUUUCUUCUCACUGAUUUCUGUUGAAAAUAUAUAUCUCCAAAUAUUUAUCCCACAAAGUUAGUGCUCUUUUGUCUAAUACUCAACUUUUACCCCACGGAUCGUUUAAAACUGGACAAGACAAACCACCAGAGACUGUGUUGAAAAACAAAAUGAAGACAAAGCAAAUGAAGAAAAAGCAAAAUGAAGACAAAGUUACAGCUGAUCAGGAAAACAGACAAGACAGUCUCUCCCCUUUCUCAUUUCUCCCCCCCUUUCUCACUGCCUACAGCAGUCAGUUUUGCACUGGAGAUUUUAAACUGCCAUGGUGCUCGGGACAGUAAUUCUAAAAAGAGCUUCACUGAAAUACUUCUCUCUAAAGAGGUCCUCAUAACCAGGUGACGCCUGGAAAAAUGUGACUUCCAAAAUAGUAUUUAAGUACAUAUAUAGAAGAGAGAAGGGGAAAAAAGGGGGAAAAAAAAGCCACUGAAAAGGCAUUUUGGACUGUAGCAAUGGACAUAUCCAUCAACACUGCAUUGUGUUAUCUCAGUGUAGUCAGGAACCUAACAGUUAUGAACAAGAAGCAGACAGGUCAGUAUACCAGAUAUUUCAUACAGUGGCUUACAUCAGAAUCUAGUUGUAUAAACUAACAUAAAGAUACUGAAGUCAAUGAAGCUACUCAGGAAUGAUCCUAUUAUAGGUGAGAUCAGAAGUAACUGUAGUAGUGUAUUAUUUGUUAAAACUUCAUUAAAAUCAGAUUCAGUGGGAGGAAUGGUUUUUUCUUCCCUAACACUUAUCCUUUAUUACUUGUCAGAUAUUAUCCAGACUUACCUGAAAAAUCUGCCAUUUAUAAAAAUGUAUUUUUUGGAGGCAAUGCAAUAAAUAUGCCAAUUCAGUUUCCCAGGGAAACAAAUACACUUAAAAGUUUUUUGUAAGAGUAAGUCCAGGGAAAUCAGCUUUACAGACAUACGCUUCAGGCCCUCAAAUGUUAAAGUGAGAAUUCCUUACAUUUCCCUCCUCCCGUAAAUCGCAUCUCUACCCCAAAUUUGCCUUUUGUAUUGUUAAUUCACAAUCUCAGUUUUCAAAGGCAUCUGAGUGACCCCCUGUGCUUAGCUGACAUCCCACUUCAUUCAUGUAGCCCCAAGUCAGAGAGAUACGCAUUUCUGGAGCAGCUCCUUGUCAGUGGACCUUCCCCAGAUAGGUCAAAGGGUGAAAAGUGUCAUUGUUAAGAAGCAAACGUGAAUCACUGGGUUUGUCGCCCUGUCAGCUUUUGAUUUGCUGCAUUCACACUCACAUGCGGCAUGAGGACUGAGCAUGACUGAGCUGUGGCCAAACCACCCUUCUGGCCUUGUCUUAAGUCUGUCCAGAUGGCAGGCAUGCCUGCUCCUCACAGAGGCAAGAUCUCGCUUCAGUGAGAGGCCAGGGCUUCUCCUGCUGAGCUCUGAAAUCUGCGGCAGCCAGUAUUGCCAAUUGUGGAGAUGGAAGCAUGUGCUUACUGAUAAAGAUGCUCCCAAUCUUCUUGCUUCUGCAGGAAGGCUGAACCAUCCCAGGAGUGGGGACCAAUGUGGCACUUGCCCCCAGGCCCAACUUGUGAGGAGACAGUCCGCCCCAUGGGUAUGCUUAGGAAAUGCUAUCACAUGCAGUUUGCAUCCAUCUGGAUGCAAGCAGUGUCAGAACUGGAGAACAGAGAGUUGCCCUACGCUGUGUAGAUGCAGCACACAUGUUUCUGACAUGACACUGUGCAUGCUUCUGCUUGAUUUGGCCUGACUGGAAGAUAUAGUCUAUGGCAAGUGAUUUUUAAAGAGCAGAGACUGCACAGCUUUACAGAAGACAUAACUAAAGAGUUAAUGAAAUCCUCAAAAGUCUUCUUUUUCUUGUUGGAACUACCCCACUCCUGACUGGCACGGGCUUUCUCCCACCUACUGCAGGCACCGUAGAUGUGUUUGUAAGCCUUAUUCACUACAGCUGAGAAGUCACACAUGAUGAGUGCUCCUAAGCACACUGCCAGCACAGAAUUCUGAGAUUCUCUAUGGCUUUGUUUAAGUUCCCAAAUUAUGUUUUAAAAGGCUAGAUAAUUUUGGUGGCGUUCUCCAUGUGAUUUUUUGUGGACGGGGAGUGGCUACUCACAUUCACAGAUCAGCCCCAAAGUGACAAUCUAAAUUCAUUUAUACUAUCUCUUCCCAGUAGGUCCUGUGUGCAGGUUAGCAGCCCUCUAUAGCCAGUAAUCCUGUAAGCCACUGAUAAGCACAAGCAACGUGAACCCCAUGGUUUGACCUCCCUGCUUUUGCAGAGGGAGGCCAGCCUGAGCCCUCACACAGCAUAGAACAAAGCUUGCCCAGGUGCUUCUGCAGCAGGCUCAGAGCUCAUCUGUGAAGUUUUCCAUGCCUGUAAAAGCAUCACCUACUAGCGAUGCUAAAUCUUUCUUCAUGUCAUGUAUCGACUUAAGCUUUGCGGCACAAAAGGAUAAAGAUGCUGAGGCAAAUAUGUCUCUGCAGGAGAUGUAAUUCUGCUCUUUCCACAGCAUGCUUGCCAGGGAGGGCUCACCUGCCACCACUGCUGCUGAUGCAAGGGGCAUGAGAAGAGCGAUCUACUUAACCAGGGCACAUGGAUGGGGCAAGGGGGAGAGUGAAAGCCUGAUGAUGUGAAAGAGUCCCAUCAGGGCACCCUCGGUAGGAAGUGCAAAUGGAGCCGAGUUUUCUGCAGUUCUCAUGAGGCAGCAGCAUUUCAGCAGGCAGAGCUGGAGGAGUCAAGCAGGCAGAGUCAGUGCACAAUUAGGGAGAGGUGGGUGCUUCUAGGGUGCGUCCAGAGGAAGGGCUUUGGAAGGAGCAGAGUGUGCUGGUGGGAAAUGGGCUUUGGAUGGAUAGUGGGGAUGCUUGGAGACCAAAGUUGUAUUCGCAUGGGUUAAACAGAAAUUUCCAAUAAGUCACCAAGAAUUAAUUAAUGCUAUUAUCCUAUGGAUUAUCUUUAGCUUCCGUAUCUUCAUUUGUAGUGUUAGAAAUACGGUAGAUCAGUUCACAAUUCUGUGCUAACUGCUUGUGGGGCUCACAACCGAUUUCAAAGGACAUGCUGCAGCAGGACCCAGGAGCGGCUGCAGGGGUGCUGGGGCUCCCCAGGAGCUGCUACGGCCACGUACCCAUGCACAAAGCAACUCAUUAAUAAAUUCAUUGGCUUCUGAACUGAGAGUUGAACGUGAGCCAGAAUAGCACAUGGAGCAUAUGAGGUACGGUAAGAACAGCUUUACGUGCUGGCAAACCUCCACCAUGUUGAUUUGCCCUCCAGGAGCCCCAGAGACCUAGAGAGUUUAAUCUUUGUCCCAUGGGGCUAGGGUUUUAUUUGAAAAAAAAAAAAAAAAAGUAAUAAUAUGAACUCCUGAGCAACAAGUUAAAUGCUGCUGGUGCUGCAAUUGCUCGGGAGUCCACUUAUUCACCACUGUUUUUGGCAACAUCAUCACGACUUAGUUUUCAUUAUCUCUCUUAAAGCAUGGAAGACCUUUGGAGAAAAUAAAUGAAUGAUAAGUUGCCUUGAGUUGUUUUUAGGUCACAGAGCUUUAUCUUUUAACAGUGUGAGUUAUUACCUAUUUUUAAAAAGCAUUCAUUUUUAUACCUGGCUUUUAUACACAGCAUUUCAAGAGUUGGGAGGGAAAAGGGAGAACAACAGACAUUUUAUACUGAAAUAUAGAGGAAUUAUGUGAAUCUUGGCUUAAGGACGUUCGAGUUAAUUUCUACUUAGACGAUAAAUCUAUUUUUCAUGGAUUUGUAACUUGGCUAUAAAAGCAUGCUUGAAGACUUGGAUUUUGGCAGCUAAAGAUUUCAGGUCAGGAGAAUAUUUUUAGCAAUAUUUUAUUUAAAAAAAACACACAGAAGGUUGUUUUUAAGUUUAGAAAGUUAAAGAGAGAGUUUAAGAAAGCAUGGGUUGGGUCACAUUUUGACACCCAUGUUUUGUUGUUUUUUUUCUCUUACAGAAAAAGAGCAAAAUCUCCAUCCAAUCUGCUUCUAGCUUGACAGAUAAUGAAAAACAUUUCAGAUUUAUCCUUUCCAAAUUGCCCAUAGCCCUAUUUCAUAUUCAAGACUAAAGAAUCCGUCUCAGCUAAUAAUUCUUAAACAUUGAAUUCAAAGUACCAUUGUGAAAAUUAAUGGAUAUGUUAAAUGAGCAGAUAUUCAGCUCGUAUACAAUUCAUUGUAAAUUCUGGAAUGGCAACAAAACUACAUCAAUUAGGACAGAAGUUGUGGAUAGUAAAUGUAUAUUACACUAUCUCCCUCAAAACACAUGACUAAUCUAAUAAUACUGAAGUAGUAAAGCAAUCAAAUAAAUUAAUACAUCAGGAGGAAUGAAGAACCAAUGACAGGACACCAGUGAACUCAGCAUGCCACGUACAAAAGGCAUUAGGACAGCUUUGGUUAAGCAUACCAGGGCAAACACUUUGCCACAGAAUCUUUGGUUUUACAGUUUCAUUUAACCUCAAAAUUACAGAUGGGUUGAGUAAUCCUGCCAGGAUUUGAAUUAGUGGUUCCAGGGAGACUAGAAGCUAAGCUGCAGGUAGAACUAAGGAGAGUGGUCAGAAAAGGUGUGGAGCAGGCAGAGCAAACAGGAACGUCCAUUUCUGGACCUUAACUUACACCCUCUUGUUUGCUCCUCCUGCACAAUCACCUUUCUGUUACUGAGAGUCCCUUUAACAAAGUGGGUCAAAUUCAGCUCUGCCUCCUAGCACUAACCUCUUUGUGUUGUACCUGCAGGCAAAGGGCUGUCAUAAAGGAGGAGCUGGCAAUAUCUUGACACCAAGAGCAAUUCAACUGUGGUGUUAUUGAUGUAAAGAUGGUUCAUACCACUUGCUCCCAGUGUAGGCCAGGAACUGCUUGGAUCAGUUCUGAGGUACUUCUUGCAACAGAACCACCCAUAUGAGACAAAUUAAUCCCAGCCCCACAAAGUUCUAAGGGAAAGGAAAAGUUGUCUCUAUUUACCUCUUGCAACAGGUUCUACAUUCAACUCAGCUUCUUUGAGCUGAAGAUCUAGCUAGCUAAGGUGGGCAAAUCAGCAGUUAAGUGCAAUUCUCAUUGCAAAACUCGUUCAUGCACUCCAGAGGUUGCUUUUUUGUUGAUCUUCAGGUAUUUUACAACCAGCAGUGACUUCUGUAGGCCCAACUGCUGCCAUUAACUUCAGCUGUCAUAACUGAAUCAUUUAUUAUCCUUGAAUAAAUGUCACUUACAAAUUUGCUCUGUAGUAAGUCUCUUUUCUUCAUAUCAAUAAGUCCACUGAAUACUUGGAUCAGAUUACUAAGGUCUAUUGAGAAUGCUAUUUCACAUGAAGGCUGUACCAAACCAACAGCUAAAAGAGGAAAGUCUUAGUCGCUGCUCCUCCACCCCUGCUCCUUCCACCCUCAUCCUCCCUUGCUCUCACUUCUCUGGCUCUUUCUCCUGGGUCUGGGUUCCCCCCUCUGUACUGACACACCCUACUAAUGAUUUCUGCACAUCAGCCCUUCCAAGCACACAUCCUUUGCACAGUAUGUCACAUAGCACACCUCCCAUUCAGAACAACAGGCCCUUUCUUCCAGCUUCUGUCUGGUGAAACAUCUUAGUCCAUACACCUAGCCACAGCCCAAAAUAGAGUAAGGAGGGGGAUGGCUGGGCCAGGUUUGGGCUCUGUUUUAGUAGGCUGUGUUUCACGUACGACAAAGCUGUGGAAAGCAUUUAGGGUAUUUGCAGCCUGCUAGCAGUUAGCAAGGUAGCUACCCUUAAGGAGGUUGAUACAUGCAUUCAACUUAAGGCAGAAGGUAUGAUUCUGCUAACAUCAUUUAGGCGGAGAAUUUCACCACUCAGCUAUUUCUGUGAGCCUCUGCAGUACCACUGGAGUGUUUUUGAGACUGAGCCUAGGUAUUAUACAGUCCCUCUAGCUGUAGCAGUAGAGCACCUCCCAAGUAUUUAAAAAUAGAAGUCACAGUAACAAUCUCCCUUUCUUAUUUGGCAGCCAGGAGGAGAAACACUUGGUGUAACUUAUAC
Long non-coding RNA from Gallus gallus (chicken), 11136 nucleotides. RefSeq lists it as uncharacterized. Lineage: Eukaryota; Metazoa; Chordata; Aves; Galliformes; Phasianidae. The record is from RefSeq and is a predicted model, not a curated record. The transcript has 4 exons.